UGCCUCAGUAACGGCGAGUGAAGCGGCAACAGCUCAAAUUUGAAAUCUGGCGCCCCCCGGCGUCCGAGUUGUAAUUUGUAGAGGAUGCUAUUGGGUUGCCACCGGUCUAAGUUCCUUGGAACAGGACGUCACAGAGGGUGAGAAUCCCGUACGUGACCGGCCAGGCGCUCUCUGUAUAGCUCCUUCGACGAGUCGGGUUGUUUGGGAAUGCAGCCCUAAAUGGGAGGUAAAUUUCUUCUAAAGCUAAAUACCGGCCAGAGACCGAUAGCGCACAAGUAGAGUGAUCGAAAGAUGAAAAGCACUUUGGAAAGAGAGUUAAAAAGCACGUGAAAUUGUUGAAAGGGAAGCGCUUGCCAUCAGUCUCGACGGCGGCUGUUCGGCCUCUCUUCUGAGUGGUUUAUUCAGUCGCCGCCGGGCCAGCAUCAGUUUCGGCGGCCGGACAAAGGCGCGGGGAAUGUAGCUCCCUCGGGAGUGUUAUAGCCCCGCGUGCAAUACGGCCCGCCGGGACUGAGGUCCGCGCUUCGGCUAGGAUGCUGGCGAAAUGGUGGUAAGCGGCCCGUCUUGAAACACGGACCAAGGAGUCUAACAUCUACGCGAGUGUUUGGGUGUCAAACCCGUGCGCGCAAUGAAAGUGAACGGAGGUGGGAACCGCAAGGUGCACCAUCGACCGAUCCUGAUGUCUUCGGAUGGAUUUGAGUAAGAGCGUAGCUGUUGGGACCCGAAAGAUGGUGAACUAUGCCUGAAUAGGGUGAAGCCAGAGGAAACUCUGGUGGAGGCUCGCAGCGGUUCUGACGUGCAAAUCGAUCGUCAAAUUUGGGUAUA
This 822-nucleotide ribosomal RNA is filed under the name Elsinoe necatrix. RNAcentral's name for it is "partial large subunit ribosomal RNA". It matches the Rfam family "Eukaryotic large subunit ribosomal RNA", at positions 76 to 919 of the family's 3401-position model. Lineage: Eukaryota; Fungi; Ascomycota; Dothideomycetes; Myriangiales; Elsinoaceae. The record is from RNAcentral.